Non-coding RNA from Cinara cedri, 203 nucleotides. NCBI's taxonomy places the organism in Eukaryota, Metazoa, Arthropoda, Insecta, Hemiptera, Aphididae. The record is from the annotation of a GenBank genome assembly.
UUAUUACUAUUAUUAUGUUCUAAUUAGAUUGAAAAAAAAUAUCACGUCCGUGAGUCAUAACGGUUAAAAGUACCUACCCAUACCAUAGAGAGACCGCAAAUGAACGCUAUAAAUAAUUCAAUUAAACGUUUUGGUCGAGCUUGAAAAAGUAAUAGGUAUUAUGUUUCUCGCGUUCAUCAUAUACGGUAUAUUUAUGGGGCUGU